GACGAACGCUGGCGGCGUGCUUAACACAUGCAAGUCGUACGGUAAGGCCCUUUCGGGGGUACCCGAGUGGCGAACGGGUGAGUAACACGUGAGUAACCUGCCCACAACUUUGGGAUAACGCUAGGAAACUGGUGCUAAUACUGGAUAUGUGCUCCUGCUGCAUGGUGGGGGUUGGAAAGCUCCGGCGGUUGUGGAUGGACUCGCGGCCUAUCAGCUUGUUGGUGGGGUAGUGGCCUACCAAGGCGGCGACGGGUAGCCGGCCUGAGAGGGUGACCGGCCACAUUGGGACUGAGAUACGGCCCAGACUCCUACGGGAGGCAGCAGUGGGGAAGAUUGAACAAUGGGCGCAAGCCUGAUGCAGCAACGCCGCGGGCGGGAUGACGGCCUUCGGGUUGUAAACCGAUUUCAGCAGGGACGAAGCUUUUUGUGACGGUACCUGCAGAAGAAGCACCGGCUAACUACGUG
RNAcentral lists this ribosomal RNA (465 nucleotides) under uncultured bacterium. RNAcentral's name for it is "partial 16S ribosomal RNA". It matches the Rfam family "Bacterial small subunit ribosomal RNA", at positions 28 to 507 of the family's 1533-position model. The record is from RNAcentral.